Molecule: long non-coding RNA, 240 nt
Organism: Mastomys coucha (southern multimammate mouse)
Lineage: Eukaryota; Metazoa; Chordata; Mammalia; Rodentia; Muridae
Exons: 3
Source: RefSeq, a predicted model, not a curated record
AGAAACCAUGUCUCAAGAAACAAACAACAAGAAGCAACAACAAAAGGAGAGUGAAGCCUGCAGAAAAAUAUUAGGAAAGAUUGGAAUAUUGCUAAAUUGGAAUUAAAAGUCUAUUCCACGUAACAACCCUCUUUUGUGGUCUUCCUGAACUGAGACAUUUAAGGAAGGUCCAUCUUUAGUAAACUCCCAACCACCACUACAAAUGAAGCUCAGUGGUAGAGUGAUUUGCUUAGCACAUGU